This 253-nucleotide ribosomal RNA is filed under the name uncultured bacterium. RNAcentral describes it as "partial 16S ribosomal RNA". It matches the Rfam family "Bacterial small subunit ribosomal RNA", at positions 524 to 776 of the family's 1533-position model. The record is from RNAcentral.
UACGGGGGGGGCAAGCGUUGUUCGGAUUUACUGGGCGUAAAGGGCGCGUAGGCGGCGUAACAAGUCACUUGUGAAAUCUCCGGGCUUAACUCGGAGCGGCCAAGUGAUACUGUUGUGCUAGAGUGCGGAAGGGGCUACUGGAAUUCUCGGUGUAGCGGUGAAAUGCGUAGAUAUCGAGAGGAACACCUGCGGCGAAGGCGGGUAGCUGGGCCGACACUGACGCUGAGGCGCGAAAGCCAGGGGAGCGAACGGG